UACGUAGGGUGCGAGCGUUAAUCGGAAUUACUGGGCGUAAAGCGUGCGCAGGCGGCUUGCCAAGUCAGAUGUGAAAGCCCCGGGCUCAACCCGGGAACUGCGUUUGAAACUGGCAGGCUAGAGUUUGGCAGAGGGGGGUGGAAUUCCAGGUGUAGCGGUGAAAUGCGUAGAUAUCUGGAGGAACACCGGUGGCGAAGGCGGCAUCCUGGACCGAUACUGACGCUGAGGAGCGAAAGCCAGGGGAGCAAACGGG
This 253-nucleotide ribosomal RNA is filed under the name uncultured bacterium. RNAcentral's name for it is "partial 16S ribosomal RNA". It matches the Rfam family "Bacterial small subunit ribosomal RNA", at positions 524 to 776 of the family's 1533-position model. The record is from RNAcentral.